AAGUGGUUAUUUUUAAGUACUUGAGAGAUGUUUGGGAAUGGGAGGUCACUCAGGUGAAGAGGGAGGUCAAUAAAUAGAAAGAAGGAAAUUAUUUUUACCCAUAGCAGGUAAGGUAUUUUUAGAGCAAUCACCUGAAAGAUCCCUGAACUACGCAGAAUGAUGAGCACUGCUCACACAGCAGCAGUAAUGGGAGCUACAACUGGCACGGAUCCAUGGUCCCCAGCUUAUUUCAAGUGAGAUUUCAGUGUAAUGAUUUUUUUUUUUUCCCCUUUUCGCCCCCCUCCUGUGCUUACUGCCAUGGCUGGGGUUACCUCAAUGAUCUGACUCUCGUAUGGGCAUUUGUGGAAUUUUUCCAUUCUUGCUAUGUGGAUAUUUCCUCUCUUCUUUGGCCUGUGUUUCAUCCAUUUAUCUUGACUGCUCUGCUCUCACUUGUGUGAAAUGGAAGAGACAAAAAGCUGAACCUCCACAGGCAGGUGGGAAAAGGGCUCCUUCCUGCAGGACUUGUGUGUGUUGGUGGUGGGAGGGUGAGACGUCACUGGGUUUUAUUUUCACUUUUGGCCUUUUUGCACACUACCCCACGUGGUUUCACCAAUUUUCAACAUCACACUUUGUCAGCAAGAAGACAGGACCAGCGCCUUCAUUUCUUGUAGUCAAAUUUAGGGGAAGGCAAAUGUCUUUAGAUGAGGAUAAACUUAGAACUUGCAUUCCACAAACAUUCCUCAGGGAUGUCAUAGACAGGACCACCAGCCUGAGUGUGCAAAGAACAGUAUUUGAUCUCCAGCCUUCUUAGAAGGGGCCAAAUCCUCCAAGUGAGGAAGGUGUCUCAGUGUAUCCCUCAACCUGAAUUGGUAUUUUUUUCCUCUCAGACGCCGGGCUUUUGAGUAAUUCAGUACAUUGAUGUAUUUCUGCUGUAUGGGGGAAGCAGCUGCUUGAGAGGCAUUUUCCUAUCUUGCAUUAUCUGCAACCUUGAGCUGGAUGUCUUGCUGCAUCCUCCCUGGCCACUCCAUUGAAGACGGUGCUGCUUUGCCUUUGUGGUUUUCCCAAGUGAGGGCAGUGAAAGGGCAUUUUUUCUUUCAAGGAUCAGAGCAAAACAAGGAAGAUGCCAAAUGAUAAAUAUUUGACUUUCGAAGAUGAAAAAAGGAAGAGCAGCAUCAAGGGAAUCAAUCUCUUGGGAUGUCCUGUGGUCUGAAUGUACAUUUUGUAUCGCUGAGGUAGGAGCUGGGGAUGCAGAGUGUAAAAAUGUGAGUUUUACAAGGAAAAAGAAUCAUCCAGGAGACCUCUGGGAAAUCACAGGAUGUGUGUACACCUUAUGGUUUGUACAAAAUUAAAUGUUUUUUUCCUCUCAGAGAUAUUGAUCCUUGCUCUUUUAUUAUCAUGAUUAUGUUUUUUUUCCACUUGCUUCGUUUUCCAUAUCCCUGUCUUUCAGAUCCCUUGUUUGAGUUGGUCCUAUUUAUCUGAACCAGCACUGUUCUGCUUGGCCAGAUGAGCUGCUGUUCUGCUCCAAGGCCUUGCACCCAGGGAAGUCGCAUCCCAUGAGAGAGAUGACUUUUUGGAGCAUCACCUCAUUUCCUGAUAGCUCUUAAUCGCUAUCAGAACAGACUUUACAUAUGUCACAACCACAAACCCUGCUACAUGUUCCCGUCUCCUCUGCGCUGUGCCACUUAUGGACCACAAUCCUGGGAAAUCAUAGGAAGUGCUGUGUGAUGCCUUCGGCCUCAGCUAUGGGGAAUGUGAUGCACACCAGUGCUGACAGACUGGCUGGAAGACUGAGGUGUGGGACAAACACUUGGUGCAAACCCAUGAGCUUCACACAGCCCAGCCUGAUCUGAAUCAGCACGUGUGGUGAGACACUGGAACAGGUUGCCCUGUGAGGUUGUGGAUGCUCCCUACCUGGGAGCGCUCAGGGCUAGGCUGGAUGGGGCUGUGAGCAACCUGGUCUAUGAAAGGUGUCCCUGCCUAUAACAGGGGGGUUGAAACUAGAUGAGUGUAAAUGUCCCUUCCAACCCAAACCAUUCUAUGAUUAUAGCUGUGUAGACAGGAGACAGAGCAAUCAUGGAUCAAUCCUUCCUCCCAGCAGCUCCCAGGCUCUCUCAGGAGCACUAAGAGUGGUCUGCGUGUACUCAGCAAGGCCAACUUUUCACACCCCAUUAGCCCAGAUGUGAUGAACCUCACUUUCCACAGCCAAUUCUGCUGAUGGAGCUGACCAAGAUUUUUUUAUUCCCAGCUGAACAGUCUUCUCUUAAAGAAAAGCAAAUUCAGCAAAAUAUAUAUUUUUGUUGACAUUUUUUUUAAUGGGAAAUUAUUGAAACACUUCCAUUUUAGCAUUUGGCCAAUUCUGUCUCAUCUGGCAUGAAGUAAUCAAAAUCCAGCAGAGAAGCCCUCACUGGAAUUACCUCUUUCAAUCAUUUAAUGCAGUUCUCCUUCAAGAAGGCUGUUCUGAGAUUCCCAAGCUGAAAUAGAAUGGGAUGGGAUGUUGCCUCUUACCCUACACUUUGACAGUGCUUUUCAUUUAGCUUUGGGGCUUUCCUCCACAGCACACAAAUAUUGCUCCAGAAAGCUGCAUUUCUAAGGAGGAAGGUUGUCUUGUACCAACUGAAUCAUAGACAGGAUGGUUUGACUCAAGGCAUGUAGGAAUUAACAGUUGCCACAGCAGAGCUCCUCAUGCAGCCAAGGCAAUGCAGAGAGGAGUUGACGAAGGGAGACCUGUCUGGUUUUAUAGUGACAGAUUUCUUUGCAUAAUGCAUUUUGGGUGAAGUUUCAGGUUUAUUUUGUACUUAUCUGAUGUCAGAAGAGUACAUAUUAAGUCUUCAAGGAAAAAAAAAAAGGUUUUCUUAUAAUCAGCUUAUUGCAGCCUUCCAUGUAUAAUAACACAGUUAUAUGGCAGUAAACCUGGAAUCCUACUGGAGUUUGUUGUAAAGUGACAGAUUCAGGUCAAAGCUGUUAAUGAGCAGCCAGGCUGAUGUGUUAUGCAUAAUGAAGAAGAAAAUGACAUUAUUGUUUUACAGGUGAGCUUGGAAAGUUAGGAUAUGCCAGGUCCAUUAGAGCAACUGUGUAUCUUGAAGUUUAAUACCUUGCCUCUGGCCAGUACUUGAUAGUUCAGAAAAACUUGGGCUAUUUUAUUGCUGAUAACUAAAGGCACGCUGUAGAUACGUGGUUUUUGGCUACUUAGCUUCCUCCUCCCUGGCAACAAGCCCUAGAUGUCCCAGUUGACUCUUCUGUAGGUGCAGACUUGGAAGGGUGCUGAUAUGGGGUGGGUGUGACCACUCAGACCCAUAUUUUCUUCCUUGCUCUGCCACAAUGAGACCCAGUGCAGCUGUUUCAAUGUCUGUUCUGUCUUUCUUAUCUGAAAUGAAUGCUUUUUGGGGAAUGUGUUUCUCAUGCCCCUCUUGUCUAGUUGGCUAUUUGUUCCCUAAUGUUUCUUUGUACUUAUUUUCAUUAACUGGAGCCUAUAAUGAAUGCACAAGUAAUACUGGCCUGAAAAGAACAAACAAACAACAGAACAUUGCUCAUCCCUUGAGGAAUAUCAAAGUAGUAAAAAAGCACUUUGGAAAUGGGAAGAGAUGCAAAAAGACAAAAGCAAUCAUUUCUGCUUCAGCAUUUCCUAGGAAGAAAGGGCAGCAAGCAAAUACCCUAACAAACGGAUGACAGGCAGGUCCUCCUCCGUGAGAGUGACCCUUGAAAAAUGAUUGGGAACUUCAGCUGUUGUCACAUGCGUUCUCUUCUUAAUUGGUGCUCUCCUGAGAUGCUUCUUAAAAUGAGGUCUCCUUUCUGCUAUGUCUCUAAAAUGCCAUCCGCUCUGGUGUCUUGGUGCAUGACUGAGGUCUCCUAGUGCCACAUCUGAGAUAUUAAUUCUCAUUAAGAAGUAAUGCAAUUUGUGUCUAUUUGGAUACUUGCUGUGCUUUUCACUGGCUGUUCUGGGUGUGGUGUAAGAGUUCAUAUCUGUCUAAUGCCCACUGCUUGGGAUGACUGAACCCAACACAGGCACUGAAAUUAAUUCAGUAAUUCAGGCUAGCAAGUUGCUUUGGGAUCUCAGCACUCCCAGGCCUUUAUGUCACUGAGAAGUGGGACUCCCAUAGAACUCAACACCCACUACCAGUUAUUGACAACUAGGGAUCUGAGCCAGAAAAAUAUGUUGUCAUGACCUUAACUCACGGUUUUGAAUGGUCCUUUUGGCUUUCAUACAUACACGUGCUCAGUAUUGCAACCCUCAGUGCUCAGCACUAUGCAGGACUGAGCCCCUCACUAAUCCUUCUGAACCCAAGUCUAUUGACUUUCAAAGCAAACCGCAAGGGCUUCUUAUCUACAUUUCCUGAGCAAGCUGCUUGCUUAGGCUGAGCCUUUUGCAUUAGUCUUCACCAGAGUUGAUUUUGAGCAGUGAACAUGAUUAGAUUUUCAUAUCAAGAGAGACUGAAAGUAUGGAGAUGGUUGCCAAAUAUCCAGGAGUAAGUCAGGAGCGAACUCCCUUCUUUCUGUAGUUUGUGAAAGCACAUCAAGAUCAGAAUUAGUGCCUAAUCCCAACCCAGACAAUAUCCAGGUUUUGUUUUCUCACUCUGGAAUGAAACUUAACAGAACCCUGAGCCUGAGUGUCUUAGGAAGCAUGAAAACCAGAUCUCAGUUGUUAGCUGCAUGACAUUUGUAUAAUCUGAUCCUGUCAUCACAUUGCAGAACAAGAUUCAGCCCUAAAUUACACCACAACCCAACUCAGACAAGCUGCAUGUUGUCAAGAAGCCUGUCCCAGAAAACAGGCUGAAAUAAGGAUUGUUUUGCCUUUAGAAUAUUUCUGUUGCUGGCUUCUCUUUGCACCAAAAUCAGGCAAAGGCAGUGCUUUCAGGCUUGACCUGAGUGUUUGGGGUGUUUUAAGAUUAACGCUAAAUCCAUGCCAUGGUAGCACAUUGUUGUGUAUCUUUGUUGAGGUCACUACUAGUGCCUGUGAGAGUGGGGGCAGCAAAGCUGUCAGGGAAAAUAAAAGCACCUCCUGUCCUGAUGUCUCUCCUGUUGAUAUAAUGAUCUGAUGGCUGAGACUAAAAAAAUGAUGAAAUAUUC
Molecule: long non-coding RNA, 5043 nt
Organism: Tympanuchus pallidicinctus (lesser prairie-chicken)
Lineage: Eukaryota; Metazoa; Chordata; Aves; Galliformes; Phasianidae
Exons: 4
Source: RefSeq, a predicted model, not a curated record